UGCAUGUGUGUGCGUGUGCGUGCUCAACUGGUGGACAAAGGCAUGAAAGACACAUGCAAAAAUAGAUCCUUCUUUGCAACAGAGUUCACUAUUCAGGAUGAGCUUUGAUACAUAUAAAAAGGACACA
This is a small nucleolar RNA of Nannospalax galili (Upper Galilee mountains blind mole rat), 127 nucleotides long. Lineage: Eukaryota; Metazoa; Chordata; Mammalia; Rodentia; Spalacidae. The record is from Ensembl.